This 1191-nucleotide ribosomal RNA is filed under the name Leuconostoc carnosum. Its description in RNAcentral is "bacterial SSU rRNA". It matches the Rfam family "Bacterial small subunit ribosomal RNA", at positions 271 to 1454 of the family's 1533-position model. Lineage: Bacteria; Bacillati; Bacillota; Bacilli; Lactobacillales; Lactobacillaceae. The record is from RNAcentral.
AGACAAUGAUGCAUAGCCGAGUUGAGAGACUGAUCGGCCACAUUGGGACUGAGACACGGCCCAAACUCCUACGGGAGGCUGCAGUAGGGAAUCUUCCACAAUGGGCGAAAGCCUGAUGGAGCAACGCCGCGUGUGUGAUGAAGGCUUUCGGGUCGUAAAGCACUGUUGUAUGGGAAGAAAAGUUAAGGUAGGGAAUGACCUUAGCCUGACGGUACCAUACCAGAAAGGGACGGCUAAAUACGUGCCAGCAGCCGCGGUAAUACGUAUGUCCCGAGCGUUAUCCGGAUUUAUUGGGCGUAAAGCGAGCGCAGACGGUUGGUUAAGUCUGAUGUGAAAGCCCGGAGCUCAACUCCGGAAAGGCAUUGGAAACUGGUUAACUUGAGUGCAGUAGAGGUAAGUGGAACUCCAUGUGUAGCGGUGGAAUGCGUAGAUAUAUGGAAGAACACCAGCGGCGAAGGCGGCUUACUGGACUGUAACUGACGUUGAGGCUCGAAAGUGUGGGUAGCAAACAGGAUUAGAUACCCUGGUAGUCCACACCGUAAACGAUGAACACUAGGUGUUAGGAGGUUUCCGCCUCUUAGUGCCGAAGCUAACGCAUUAAGUGUUCCGCCUGGGGAGUACGACCGCAAGGUUGAAACUCAAAGGAAUUGACGGGGACCCGCACAAGCGGUGGAGCAUGUGGUUUAAUUCGAAGCAACGCGAAGAACCUUACCAGGUCUUGACAUCCUUUGAAGCUUUUAGAAAUAGAAGUGUUCUCUUCGGAGACAAAGUGACAGGUGGUGCAUGGUCGUCGUCAGCUCGUGUCGUGAGAUGUUGGGUUAAGUCCCGCAACGAGCGCAACCCUUAUUGUUAGUUGCCAGCAUUCAGAUGGGCACUCUAGCGAGACUGCCGGUGACAAACCGGAGGAAGGCGGGGACGACGUCAGAUCAUCAUGCCCCUUAUGACCUGGGCUACACACGUGCUACAAUGGCGUAUACAACGAGUUGCCAACCUGCGAAGGUGAGCUAAUCUCUUAAAGUACGUCUCAGUUCGGACUGCAGUCUGCAACUCGACUGCACGAAGUCGGAAUCGCUAGUAAUCGCGGAUCAGCACGCCGCGGUGAAUACGUUCCCGGGUCUUGUACACACCGCCCGUCACACCAUGGAAGUUUGUAAUGCCCAAAGCCGGUGGCCUAACCGUAAGGAGGGAACC